This 509-nucleotide ribosomal RNA is filed under the name uncultured bacterium. RNAcentral describes it as "partial 16S ribosomal RNA". It matches the Rfam family "Bacterial small subunit ribosomal RNA", at positions 29 to 507 of the family's 1533-position model. The record is from RNAcentral.
ACGAACGCUGGCGGCGUGCUUAACACAUGCAAGUCGAACGAAGAGCGACGGAAGCUUGCUUCUAUCAAUCUUAGUGGCGAACGGGUGAGUAACGCGUAAUCAACCUGCCCUUCAGAGGGGGACAACAGUUGGAAACGACUGCUAAUACCGCAUACGAUCUAAUCUCGGCAUCGAGGAUGGAUGAAAGGUGGCCUCUACAUGUAAGCUAUCACUGAAGGAGGGGAUUGCGUCUGAUUAGCUAGUUGGAGGGGUAACGGCCCACCAAGGCGAUGAUCAGUAGCCGGUCUGAGAGGAUGAACGGCCACAUUGGGACUGAGACACGGCCCAGACUCCUACGGGAGGCAGCAGUGGGGAAUCUUCCGCAAUGGACGAAAGUCUGACGGAGCAACGCCGCGUGAGUGAUGACGGCCUUCGGGUUGUAAAGCUCUGUUAAUCGGGACGAAAGGCCUUCUUGCGAAUAGUGAGAAGGAUUGACGGUACCGGAAUAGAAAGCCACGGCUAACUACGUG